GAUGAACGCUGGCGGCGUGCCUAAUACAUGCAAGUCGAGCGAACGGACGAGAAGCUUGCUUCUCUGAUGUUAGCGGCGGACGGGUGAGUAACACGUGGAUAACCUACCUAUAAGACUGGGAUAACUUCGGGAAACCGGAGCUAUUACCGAAUAAUAUUUUGAACCGCAUGGUUCAAAAGUGAAAGACGGUCUUGCUGUCACUUAUAGAUGGAUCCGCGCUGCAUUAGCUAGUUGGUAAGGUAACGGCUUACCAAGGCAACGAUGCAUAGCCGACCUGAGAGGGUGAUCGGCCACACUGGAACUGAGACACGGUCCAGACUCCUACGGGAGGCAGCAGUAGGGAAUCUUCCGCAAUGGGCGAAAGCCUGACGGAGCAACGCCGCGUGAGUGAUGAAGGUCUUCGGAUCGUAAAACUCUGUUAUUAGGGAAGAACAUAUGUGUAAGUAACUGUGCACAUCUUGACGGUACCUAAUCAGAAAGCCACGGCUAACUACGUG
RNAcentral lists this ribosomal RNA (497 nucleotides) under uncultured bacterium. RNAcentral describes it as "partial 16S ribosomal RNA". It matches the Rfam family "Bacterial small subunit ribosomal RNA", at positions 28 to 507 of the family's 1533-position model. The record is from RNAcentral.